UAGUGAGUUUGAUCCUGGCUCAGAACGAACGUUGGCGGCCUGGAUUAGGCAUGUAAGUUGAGCGAACCCCAGCAAUGGGGGAGCAGCGUAAGGGGCAGUAAGGCAUAGGUACCUACCCGCGGCUCGGGCAUAGCCUGUUGAGAGACAGGGUAAUUCCCGAUGACGUCGAAAGACCAAAGCUCCGGCGGCGGCGGAGGGGGUCCUAUGUGAUAUUAGCUAGUUGGUGGGGUAACGGCCCACCAAGGCGAAGAUGUCUAGCGGGUGUGA
Molecule: ribosomal RNA, 267 nt
Filed under: uncultured Planctomycetota bacterium
Lineage: Bacteria; Pseudomonadati; Planctomycetota
Description: uncultured planctomycete partial 16S ribosomal RNA
Rfam family: Bacterial small subunit ribosomal RNA
Source: RNAcentral